CCUACGGAGGCUGCAGUAGGGAAUAUUGCUCAAUGGGGGAAACCCUGAAGCAGCAACGCCGCGUGGAGGAUGAAGGUUUUAGGAUUGUAAACUCCUUUUGUUAGAGAAGAUUAUGACGGUAUCUAACGAAUAAGCACCGGCUAACUCCGUGCCAGCAGCCGCGGUAAUACGGAGGGUGCAAGCGUUACUCGGAAUCACUGGGCGUAAAGAGUGCGUAGGCGGGGUAAUAAGUCAGAUGUGAAAUCCUAUGGCUUAACCAUAGAACUGCAUUUGAAACUGUUAUUCUAGAGUAUGGGAGAGGUAGGUGGAAUUCUUGGUGUAGGGGUAAAAUCCGUAGAGAUCAAGAGGAAUACUCAUUGCGAAGGCGACCUGCUAGAACAUAACUGACGCUGAUGCGCGAAAGCGUGGGGAGCAAACAGGAUUAGAUACCCGUGUAGUC
This 439-nucleotide ribosomal RNA is filed under the name uncultured bacterium. RNAcentral's name for it is "partial 16S ribosomal RNA". It matches the Rfam family "Bacterial small subunit ribosomal RNA", at positions 338 to 795 of the family's 1533-position model. The record is from RNAcentral.